RNAcentral lists this ribosomal RNA (229 nucleotides) under Klebsiella pneumoniae IS22. RNAcentral describes it as "Small Subunit Ribosomal RNA; ssuRNA; SSU rRNA". It matches the Rfam family "Bacterial small subunit ribosomal RNA", at positions 1 to 224 of the family's 1533-position model. Lineage: Bacteria; Pseudomonadati; Pseudomonadota; Gammaproteobacteria; Enterobacterales; Enterobacteriaceae. The record is from RNAcentral.
UUAAAUUGAAGAGUUUGAUCAUGGCUCAGAUUGAACGCUGGCGGCAGGCCUAACACAUGCAAGUCGAACGGUAACAGGAAGCAGCUUGCUGCUUCGCUGACGAGUGGCGGACGGGUGAGUAAUGUCUGGGAAACUGCCUGAUGGAGGGGGAUAACUACUGGAAACGGUAGCUAAUACCGCAUAACGUCGCAAGACCAAAGAGGGGGACCUUCGGGCCUCUUGCCAUCGG